Molecule: non-coding RNA, 46 nt
Filed under: Oceanicola sp. MCTG156(1a)
Lineage: Bacteria; Pseudomonadati; Pseudomonadota; Alphaproteobacteria; Rhodobacterales; Roseobacteraceae
Description: SAM-SAH-Weickhmann-2018 RNA
Rfam family: SAM/SAH riboswitch aptamer
Source: RNAcentral
CCGUCACAACGGCUUCCUGGCGUGGCGGCGUAGAAGUAAUGGAGCA